RNAcentral lists this ribosomal RNA (834 nucleotides) under uncultured bacterium. RNAcentral describes it as "bacterial SSU rRNA". It matches the Rfam family "Bacterial small subunit ribosomal RNA", at positions 32 to 886 of the family's 1533-position model. The record is from RNAcentral.
GACGCUGGCGGCGUGCUUAACACAUGCAAGUCGAACGAUGAAGCCUAGCUUGCUAGGUGGAUUAGUGGCGCACGGGUGAGUAAUAUAUAGAUAACGUGCCUCUUAGUCUGGGAUAGCCAUUGGAAACGAUGAUUAAUACUAGAUACUCCUUCUAACUCUAAUGUUAGUCGGGAAAGUUUUUCGCUAAGAGAUCGGUCUAUAUCCCAUCAGCUAGUUGGUAGUGUAAGAGACUACCAAGGCAAUGACGGGUAGCGGGUUUGAGAGGAUGAUCCGCCACACUGGUACUGAGACACGGACCAGACUCCUACGGGAGGCAGCAGUGAGGAAUAUUGCACAAUGGAGGAAACUCUGAUGCAGCAACGCCGCGUGGAGGAUGACGCAUUUCGGUGUGUAAACUCCUUUUAUAUGUCAAGAAAAUGACGGUAGCAUAUGAAUAAGCACCGGCUAACUCCGUGCCAGCAGCCGCGGUAAUACGGAGGGUGCAAGCGUUAUUCGGAAUCACUGGGCGUAAAGGACGCGUAGGCGGGAUGCCAAGUCUGAUGUGAAAUCCUAUGGCUUAACCAUAGAACUGCAUUGGAAACUGGUAACCUAGAGUAUGGGAGGGGGAGAUGGAAUUAGUGGUGUAGGGGUAAAAUCCGUAGAUAUCACUAGGAAUACCGAAAGCGAAGGCGAUCUCCUGGAACAAUACUGACGCUAAGGCGUGAAAGCGUGGGGAGCAAACGGGAUUAGAUACCCCGGUAGUCCACGCCCUAAACGAUGUUCACUAGUCGUCGGGAUGCUAGUCAUCUCGGUGAUGCACUUAACAGAUUAAGUGAACCGCCUGGGGAGUACGGU